AGAGUUUGAUUCUGGCUCAGGACGAACGCUGGCGGCGUGCUUAACACAUGCAAGUGGAGCGACGAACCAGGGCUUGCCCUGGGGCAGAGCCGCGAACGGGUGAGUAACACGUGGGUAACCUACCCCGAUGACUGGGACAACCCGAGGAAACUCGGGCUAAUACCGGAUGUACUCGCAACGCGUAAGCGAUGUGAGUAAAGGAAGCUUCGGCCUCCGCUUCGGGAGGGGCCCGCGGCCCAUUAGCUUGUUGGUGAGGUAACGGCUCACCAAGGCAACGAUGGGUAGCUGGUCUGAGAGGACGAUCAGCCACACUGGGACUGAGACACGGCCCAGACUCCUACGGGAGGCAGCAGUGGGGAAUCUUGCGCAAUGCGCGAAAGCGUGACGCAGCAACGCCGCGUGGGGGAAGACGGCCUUCGGGUUGUAAACCCCUUUCAGGAGGGACGAAGGUGCGGCGGCGAAUAGCCGUCCGUACUGACGGUACCUCCACAAGAAGCCCCGGCUAACUACGUGCCAGCAGCCGCGGUAAUACGUAGGGGGCUAGCGUUGUCCGGAAUCAUUGGGCGUAAAGCGCGCGUAGGCGGCCCGGUAAGUCCGUUGUGAAAGUCAAAGGCUCAACCUUUGAAUGCCGAUGGAUACUGCCGGGCUCGAGUCCGGAAGAGGCGAGUGGAAUUCCUGGUGUAGCGGUGGAAUGCGCAGAUAUCAGGAGGAACACCAAUAGCGAAAGGCAGCUCGCUGGGACGGUACUGACGCUAAGGCGCGAAAGCGUGGGGAGCGAACAGGAUUAGAUACCCUGGUAGUCCACGCCGUAAACGAUGGACACUAGGUGUGGGAGGUGUCGACUCCUCCCGUGCCGCCGCUAACGCAUUAAGUGCCCCGCCUGGGGAGUACGGCCGCAAGGCUAAAACUCAAAUGAAUUGACGGGG
RNAcentral lists this ribosomal RNA (926 nucleotides) under uncultured Actinomycetes bacterium. RNAcentral describes it as "bacterial SSU rRNA". It matches the Rfam family "Bacterial small subunit ribosomal RNA", at positions 8 to 918 of the family's 1533-position model. Lineage: Bacteria; Bacillati; Actinomycetota; Actinomycetes. The record is from RNAcentral.